CCUACGGGGGGCUGCAGUGGGGAAUAUUGGACAAUGGGGGCAACCCUGAUCCAGCCAUGCCGCGUGUGUGAAGAAGGCCCUCGGGUUGUAAAGCACUUUCAGUGAGGAAGAACGCCUGGUGGUUAAUACCCAUCAGGAAAGACAUCACUCACAGAAGAAGCACCGGCUAACUCCGUGCCAGCAGCCGCAGGUAAUACGGAGGGUGCGAGCGUUAAUCGGAAUUACUGGGCGUAAAGCGCGCGUAGGUGGCUUGAUAAGCCGGUUGUGAAAGCCCCGGGCUCAACCUGGGAACGGCAGCCGGAACUGUCAAGCUAGAGUGCAGGAGAGGAAGGUAGAAUUCCCGGUGUAGCGGUGAAAUGCGUAGAGAUCGGGAGGAAUACCAGUGGCGAAGGCGGCCUUCUGGACUGACACUGACACUGAGGUGCGAAAGCGUGGGUAGCAAACAGGAUUAGAUACCCGAGUAGUC
RNAcentral lists this ribosomal RNA (466 nucleotides) under Vreelandella stevensii. RNAcentral describes it as "partial 16S ribosomal RNA". It matches the Rfam family "Bacterial small subunit ribosomal RNA", at positions 338 to 795 of the family's 1533-position model. Lineage: Bacteria; Pseudomonadati; Pseudomonadota; Gammaproteobacteria; Oceanospirillales; Halomonadaceae. The record is from RNAcentral.